This is a long non-coding RNA of Oryctolagus cuniculus (rabbit), 1629 nucleotides long. RefSeq lists it as uncharacterized. The record is from RefSeq and is a predicted model, not a curated record. Lineage: Eukaryota; Metazoa; Chordata; Mammalia; Lagomorpha; Leporidae.
CAAUUCAUCUGAGGGGAAGGAAAACAUUCCUGUCAUCCUCAGGGAGGUUGUGAUUUCUACAUCCCUUUUCACUUGGUUAAUCAUCCCCUAAAGUCACUUCCAGGGGUGCAUUGUUGUUUUCCCAGGUUUUCAAGAUGAAGAAAUUUCUGCUGAAAGAGGCUCCCUGACUUUUCAGAGGUUAUCUAGGGAUUCAUUAACAGAAUAAAAAUUAGGCUCCAGUUGAUGUCACUAAACAUGGCUAUCCUCUGCUUCUUCCUGCUUCCCUCAGUCCAAAAAGGUUCUAAAUAAGGAGAUAAUAUCAUUAAAGACCUCCAGGGAAAACCCAAAUGAAUCAAAUCUGAAGAAAAGAUGAAGAUAAAUUCAUCAGACAAAUUGAGAUAGCUAAGGAAUGUGUGGUGUUCAGGAGACAGCAAAUUAGACUGCCAUUUGUAAGUAACAAGAUAGGGCAAUAAGAACGGCCAGGGAUAUUCUGGUCUGCGCUCAGAGAGGGGGAGUGUAACAUGAAGAGAAAGCGAGGGUGCUGACAGAACCACACACUGAGAUCAUGCCUAUUCUGGGGGACUCAUUUUGGGGUCCAUGAACAUCCAGCUUGCCGCCUUUUUGGAAGAACUCCCAGAAGCCACACACAGAGAUGGAUCAAUAGCCACUUACCUCUGAAGGCAGGCAGAGCUGAGGCAAGUGUCCUGCAAGUGUGAUGCAGAGGCCUGAAAGAGGAGAUACUGAGAUGGCCCCAGAAGUGCGUGGAGAGUGCUAGCACGCUGAGGGGGACAGCAGACUACAAGAUGUUGGCAUCUUGAUGAAGGAGGAACAGUAUUCCAACCAACUGUAGCAAAUGUAGCCAGGAUAGACUCCAAUAUAACCAAUAACCAGAGCCUCGCAGUGGGAGACAGUUCUGCCUCUUGACAAGGACCUGGAAAAUAAAUAGAAGAACCCCAAUCCCCACACACUCACACUGCACAUGACAACAUGGCAUUAAGUGAGCUCCUACUGUACACUGUAGGUCAGAGAAAAGACAGAGAUAUCUUUGGAGAGCUUUGGAACAACCAUGCUAAGAAGAUUAAACUAUAAAUUGAAUAAGUUCAAAAUUGUAAUAUGAAUACAUUUUUACCUCAAAGAGAAUAUUUUAAACAGGUUGUGACUGGAUAAACUAUCUUAUAAAUAUGAGAUCAUUUUUAUUUUUUGCUAGUGAUCCAAGGGGGAUUCAGAGGUAGACUGAGGUCAGCUAUGAAAAAGUAGCACCAUUACAUUUCUGCACAUGGGCUUAAAUAAUGUAAAGUAAUUGUGAAUGCUCUGAAAUGUAGGGUCAUGGAUAACUUCCUGAAGAAAAUGGGAUUCUUGCACAGCUUAAGAGCAGUCCCAUGAUUUUAUACUUUGGAAGCAAAACAGGUUAUUAUGUACAAGCCAUAGGUGAAGUCUCACUUAAGGGAUUCAGAAACUCUAUAUGAUGGACCCAAUGACAUUUUGAGGAUCAUGGAGGUUGGCAUAUCUUGCCUUAGAGAGUAAGAUUAAAAGUUAAGACUGCUUGGGGCUGGCGCUGUAGCACAAGGGCUUAAAGCCCUAGCCUGAAGCACCGGCAUCCCACAUGGGUGCCAGUUCUAGUCCCGGCUGCUCCUCUUCCUAUGCAGCUCU